This 531-nucleotide ribosomal RNA is filed under the name Bifidobacterium longum subsp. suillum. RNAcentral describes it as "bacterial SSU rRNA". It matches the Rfam family "Bacterial small subunit ribosomal RNA", at positions 157 to 703 of the family's 1533-position model. The record is from RNAcentral. Lineage: Bacteria; Bacillati; Actinomycetota; Actinomycetes; Bifidobacteriales; Bifidobacteriaceae.
CGGGUGGUAAUGCCGGAUGCUCCAGUUGAUCGCAUGGUCUUCUGGGAAAGCUUUCGCGGUAUGGGAUGGGGUCGCGUCCUAUCAGCUUGACGGCGGGGUAACGGCCCACCGUGGCUUCGACGGGUAGCCGGCCUGAGAGGGCGACCGGCCACAUUGGGACUGAGAUACGGCCCAGACUCCUACGGGAGGCAGCAGUGGGGAAUAUUGCACAAUGGGCGCAAGCCUGAUGCAGCGACGCCGCGUGAGGGAUGGAGGCCUUCGGGUUGUAAACCUCUUUUAUCGGGGAGCAAGCGUGAGUGAGUUUACCCGUUGAAUAAGCACCGGCUAACUACGUGCCAGCAGCCGCGGUAAUACGUAGGGUGCAAGCGUUAUCCGGAAUUAUUGGGCGUAAAGGGCUCGUAGGCGGUUCGUCGCGUCCGGUGUGAAAGUCCAUCGCUUAACGGUGGAUCCGCGCCGGGUACGGGCGGGCUUGAGUGCGGUAGGGGAGACUGGAAUUCCCGGUGUAACGGUGGAAUGUGUAGAUAUCGGAAA